Non-coding RNA from Triticum aestivum (bread wheat), 126 nucleotides. The record is from Rfam. Lineage: Eukaryota; Viridiplantae; Streptophyta; Magnoliopsida; Poales; Poaceae.
CUUGUACUCCCUCCGUUCGAAAAUACUUGUUGGAGAAAUGAAUAAAAAGGGGUGUAUCUUAGAACUGAAAUACGUCUAGAUACAUCCAUUCCUCUGACAAGUAUUUCCGGACGGAGGGAGUACUAU